CGUAGGUGGCAAGCGUUGUCCGGAAUUACUGGGUGUAAAGGGCGUGUAGGCGGGGAGACAAGUCAGAUGUGAAAGCCCAUGGCUUAACUGUGGAACUGCAUCUGAAACUGUUUUUCUUGAGUACUGGAGAGGAAAGUGGAAUUCCUAGUGUAGCGGUGAAAUGCGUAGAUAUUAGGAGGAACACCAGUGGCGAAGGCGGCUUUCUGGACAGUAACUGACGCUGAGGCGCGAAAGCGUGGGGAGCAAACAGGAUUAGAUACCCUGGUAGUCCACGCUGUAAACGAUGGAUACUAGGUGUAGGAGGUAUCGACCCCUUCUGUGCCGGAGUUAACACAAUAAGUAUCCCACCUGGGGAGUACGGCCGCAAGGUUG
RNAcentral lists this ribosomal RNA (372 nucleotides) under uncultured organism. Its description in RNAcentral is "bacterial SSU rRNA". It matches the Rfam family "Bacterial small subunit ribosomal RNA", at positions 526 to 896 of the family's 1533-position model. The record is from RNAcentral.